AGGACUUCCGGGUUCAGAAGCCAUUUUUGGAAAACCUCCAUUGCGAGGGACAAUGCGAGGCGCUGGUAGCCCUGAGUGAAGAGAGGUAUGAAUGAAGAUGAGAACAUAUGAGGCCAACUCGAAGCAGAUCAUACAAGCUGUAUGGUUUCUUCUGAAAGAGUUCAGCCUAAGCAACAUGGAAAAUAAUAGAAUGGAAACCUCAAAGAAGACUCAUCAAAGGAUGGAUCUCAAAACAAAAUUUACUUCUCGUGUGAAUUAGAUAACACAAUGGCACUCAAGUAGAAAAGUGCCAGGAAGUGUAACAAGCACACCAAGCCAAGACUGGCCAAACCUCGUUGGAACUUAUAAAAGGGGAUGAGAACUCCAGAAUUUUGGAGCCAUCACACAGUACCUUGUAUAAUAGGAAUCCCAUCUCAGAUGUUCUGGAACUCAAACAUAGGUGGACCAGCUAAAUUUCAAGUUGAACAAAUAUGUAUUGGUGUUUGUGCGAGUAAGACUGAAUUGAGCUUUUAGUUUAGAAAGUGAUUAAUAAAAAUUAAACCUGCAUUUGUUUCCACUUGUCCUGGAUAAAAAAGAACAACAAGUAGCACUGGGGUGUUAUAAAGACCCUUUUUAUUGCUAUGGUAUAUGAUACCUUCAAUUAUAUACUGCUAAUUGGUAGAGAUUGCUACCCAUUUCUAGACUCUCCUCUCAAGGUAACACCUAGAAGCACAUCUGUCUUCAGAAUGGAGGGUUUUAAAAAAUUAGAAAACAUUAAUCCUGAGGAGCCACAGAUUAUAUUACCUCAGUGCUAAGACCUGCUCUCAGAAGGAGAGCCCACAUGCAGAAGGUAAGAGAAAGGAAACUUGCAGCCUUGUUUAAUGUUAAAUGUACAUACAGCAUAACCUGUUCUAGCCUCUAAUAAAUUCCAUUGUUACAACA
Non-coding RNA from Python bivittatus (Burmese python), 921 nucleotides. The record is from RefSeq and is a predicted model, not a curated record. NCBI's taxonomy places the organism in Eukaryota, Metazoa, Chordata, Lepidosauria, Squamata, Pythonidae.